This 751-nucleotide long non-coding RNA is filed under the name Nicotiana benthamiana. RNAcentral describes it as "long non-coding RNA (NBEN_LNC039892)". Lineage: Eukaryota; Viridiplantae; Streptophyta; Magnoliopsida; Solanales; Solanaceae. The record is from RNAcentral.
GCCCUCCGUGAAGAUUUCGUGAUGACACCUAGUCCCUACGACUAGGUAAGCCUAAAAAUGCGGAAAUUUAAUCAAUUGCGGAAGAAAACAUUUAAACUGAACUAAAUAAAUAACUAAAUGAUCAAGGUUCCACCUGGCACAUACAAUAAUAACUCUCGAAACUAACAAACAAACUCCCAAAACCCGGAAUCUCUCAAAUCACAUGCUAAGGGAUACAUAAGAGGCUCUGACUCAAGAAUAUAUAUACAAAAAGAAAUACCGAAAGAACUAUACUUAUUACAGAAAGCUGGAAAGGGACUCCUCGGUCUGCAGACGUAGCAGAUACACCUCGAAGUCUCCAACGAUACGCCUCCUUCCAAGGCCGACAAAACUAAAUGGGAGUACAUGAAUAUGCACAACGAAAAGUGUGCAGAAGAGUAGCAUGAGCACACCACAGCGGUGCCCAGUGAGUAUCAGGACUAACUUCGAUGGAGUAGUUACGCGCAACAGUCGAGACACCUACUGCUCAAUAAACAAUAUAAUAGGAAUAAUAGGGAUGAUAUGUAAUAUGUAAAGACUGCACUGAUACGCUCAAAUUACACUUUAAUAAAUAGUGUAAGGCGGUCGAUGUCAAAUAUAAUAAGCCAAUAAGGUUGGGGUCGAAUCCCACAGGGAAUAGGUGUGAAAAGGUUACUUGUUCAUUGUGUUGCUCGACUCGAGUUUGAUCUCUAUUCGGUUAAUUGUAACAAGAGAGAAUGGUGUAUGGUGACAA